UACGGAGGGUGCGAGCGUUGUCCGGAAUCACUGGGCGUAAAGGGCGCGUAGGCGGCCUGAUAAGUAGGGGGUGAAAUCCUGCGGCUUAACCGCAGGGCUGCCUUCUAAACUGUCAGGCUCGAGCACAGUAGAGGCAGGUGGAAUUCCCGGUGUAGCUGUGGAAUGCGUAGAGAUCGGGAAGAACAUCAGUGGCGAAGGCGGCCUGCUGGGCUGUUGCUGACGCUGAGGAGCGAAAGCGUGGGGAGCGAACAGG
RNAcentral lists this ribosomal RNA (253 nucleotides) under uncultured bacterium. Its description in RNAcentral is "partial 16S ribosomal RNA". It matches the Rfam family "Bacterial small subunit ribosomal RNA", at positions 524 to 776 of the family's 1533-position model. The record is from RNAcentral.